GGCAUGAUGAUACCAGCGAUGAAAGUA
This 27-nucleotide small RNA is filed under the name Bombyx mori (domestic silkworm). RNAcentral's name for it is "ovarian small RNA-17391". Lineage: Eukaryota; Metazoa; Arthropoda; Insecta; Lepidoptera; Bombycidae. The record is from RNAcentral.